GAUGAGAUUCCACUUAAUUGGUCCGUGUUUCUAAAAUAAUUUAAUACAAUAAUCCCCAUUACAAAAGAUG
RNAcentral lists this small nucleolar RNA (70 nucleotides) under Neogale vison (American mink). RNAcentral describes it as "Neovison vison (American mink) Small nucleolar RNA U18 (ENSNVIG00000008186.1)". The record is from RNAcentral. Lineage: Eukaryota; Metazoa; Chordata; Mammalia; Carnivora; Mustelidae.